This 509-nucleotide ribosomal RNA is filed under the name uncultured bacterium. Its description in RNAcentral is "bacterial SSU rRNA". It matches the Rfam family "Bacterial small subunit ribosomal RNA", at positions 28 to 536 of the family's 1533-position model. The record is from RNAcentral.
GAUGAACGCUAGCGGCAGGCUUAACACAUGCAAGUCGAGGGGCAGCACGUCUUCGGAUGGUGGCGACCGGCGCACGGGUGAGUAACGCGUAUGCAAUCUACCUUUUACAGGGGCAUAGCCCGGGGAAACCCGGAUUAAUAUCCUAUAGUACCAUUAUAUAGCAUUAUAUUAUGGUUAAAGUUUCGGCGGUAAAAGAUGAGCAUGCGUCCUAUUAGCUUGAUGGUAAGGUAACGGCUUACCAUGGCUAUGAUAGGUAGGGGUCCUGAGAGGGAGACCCCCCACACUGGUACUGAGACACGGACCAGACUCCUACGGGAGGCAGCAGUGAGGAAUAUUGGACAAUGGGCGCAAGCCUGAUCCAGCCAUGCCGCGUGCAGGAAGACGGCCCUAUGGGUUGUAAACUGCUUUUAUACGGGAAGAAACACCCCUUCGUGAAGGGACUUGACGGUACCGUAUGAAUAAGGAUCGGCUAACUCCGUGCCAGCAGCCGCGGUAAUACGGAGGAUACC